Molecule: long non-coding RNA, 1788 nt
Organism: Tachysurus fulvidraco (yellow catfish)
Lineage: Eukaryota; Metazoa; Chordata; Actinopteri; Siluriformes; Bagridae
Exons: 2
Source: RefSeq, a predicted model, not a curated record
GACGCAUCCCAGACUCAAACCCAACCCGCUCUAAAUAGUGCCUGCUCGACACUAUUGGUGGUCAUGAGCGUCAAUCACCACUCUUACCUUAUUCAUACGGUCACAUAUGUGUCAGCUUUUGUCCAAUGUGGACUUCCCUGUCCUUGUUUUCUCAUGGUUGAUUCUUUCCUAAGCUGAGGACACUCCACUUCCCACGGAAGAUGCACUACCCUUUUUUAACAGAUCCUAAUGGAUGUCUAACCCUAGGUCUGUAAACCUUUCCUUUCCUUACACCCCACGCACUAGUUGAUGUUGUCACCGACACGGGUAUAAAAAUCGACCCAAAUGCAGGGUAGUGUAUAAUGAACAGGAUUUAUUAAAUAAAAAACACAAAACAGGAACCAAGAUAUGACAUUAGAGGACAAGGAUUCUAUGCUAUGGCAGCACGGCGCGGCUAAAUAGACAAUUAGACAUGAGGAACAGGUGUGCAGAAGCGGGGAGGACGAGACAAGGACGGGGCACGAGGCCAAAGUCCGGGCUGGAUCUUGACAGAUUUAGUUUUAUGUUGUUAUUAUUUGUUCCUUUAAAUUAUCUGAUUAAUCCUUGUCUUGUGUGAUGUGUGCUCAGCCCUCACAGCCUGGCCGUGGAGAAUGCAGGCAUAAGUGCAACCCCUACAUGCAUAAACAUGGAUCAGAUAUUUAACACCUGUUAAAGCCUUCAGCAACAUGCAGUGACCAAAGACAUUUAGCGUGUGUUUGGUUGUAAGAUGAAGACUGAAGAAGAAGAAAAAGACAGGUGUUACACCCAUAUUCUACAACCGUAGAAUAGUCUCAUAAUGCGAUGAUUGCCGUGUGUACCAAAAUAAACUGAAAUUGCAGAGCACAAAAUUUCCAGCUCCAACCCGAAAAAACAUGUAGUUGUAAGUGCCAAAUUAUGAUUAUUUGAACCCUAUUAAUGGUAAUUUGGUAACCAUGGGCACUUUGACCUUGUCCGAAUGUUUUUCAAAGCAAGCACUCUGAAACGUUUGCACAGCAUUCUUAUAACAGAUAAAACAGAUAAAAAUGUAAGUUUUAAGACCAGGUAGGAUUUGGGGGCUUGGUGGGAGUGUGUAUAUACACAGCUGAUCUACUUUUAUUAUUUUUAUUUAACCAUUUGUGUUUUAUGGUACAGGCUGAAUACAGCUGAACAGUUAUUUUUAGCUUAGUAUGCUACUGUAAUGAAGCCAGUUGCAAUAACCCUCAACAUACUCCAAGGGGUCCUACAUGUAGGAAAUAUAUUGAAAAUCCUAGAAUUAUGCAGGUAUAGUGUGUAAAUCUGUCUUGGCACAGGACUAGAGUACAUAAAAAUCAACUGGUGAUCAGCAUGUAAAAUGAUGCCCACUGCUACAGCAUCACUUCAGAUGAAAAGGCCUCUUUGCAUCCAUGAACACAAGGCACUCAGAGACAGAAGGAUCUGUUACACUCUUUUCCAAAAGUCAAGAAUUUGUCUCUAAACGUAAACAUAGCCUUUUAAGGUUACUCCUAAAAGAUUGAGACUGCAUUGUAAAUGAUUGCAUUGAGACCCAAUUACUUCUGAAUUCAACAGUAAAAUUCUGUAAACUGAUGGUUCAAGAAAGAACAUAUGACCAAGUAAACUUUCAUAUACUGAAGUGCAAACACAACCAAGUUCAUACACAAACAAUAACAAACACACAGUCUGCACACACAUUCUCUUUUGUUAUCUGUUCUGCUAUCUUGUUUAAAUGCAGAUGCUAACAAGUUUGUGUUGUGAAUGUGAAAAUAAAGACAGUUACUGUAACUGUAAGAAAAA